Molecule: long non-coding RNA, 225 nt
Filed under: Hordeum vulgare
Lineage: Eukaryota; Viridiplantae; Streptophyta; Magnoliopsida; Poales; Poaceae
Description: long non-coding RNA (HVUL_LNC008282)
Source: RNAcentral
UUGGUCAAAGUCAAGCUUUGUAAAGUUUGACUAACUUUAUAUUAAAAAAUAUGAACAUUCACAACAUGAAAUCAAUAUUAUCAAAUGCACCACGGGAUGUAUUUUCAUACUAUAUAAUUUUAAUAUAGUAGAUAUUCAUAUUUUUGGAUAUAAAUUUGGUCAAACUUUAUGUUGUUUGACUUUGACCAAAUCUUAUAUGCGGAGUAAAAAGAAACGGAGGGAGUA